AUGGCCUGGACCCCUCUCCUCCUUGGCCUCCUUGCUCAUUGCACGGGUUCUGUGGCCUCCUAUGAGCUGACUCAGCCCCCAUCUGUGUGUGUGACCCUGGGACAAACAGCCCGGAUCACCUGUGGGGGAAACAACAUUGGAAGUAAAAAUGUUUCCUGGUACCAACAGAAGCCGGGCCAGGCACCCGUGAUGAUUAUCUAUGGUGAUAGCAGCCGGCCCUCAGGGAUCCCUGACCGAUUCUCAGGCUCCAACUCAGGGAACACGGCCACCCUGACCAUCAGCGGGGCCCGGGCCAAGGACGAGGCUGACUAUUACUGUCACGUGUGGGACAGCAAUGCUGAUGCUCACGGUGACACAGGCAGAUGGGGAAUGCUCACCUUCUACACCAAGGAGACCUGA
Non-coding RNA from Leptonychotes weddellii (Weddell seal), 399 nucleotides. The record is from the annotation of a RefSeq genome assembly. NCBI's taxonomy places the organism in Eukaryota, Metazoa, Chordata, Mammalia, Carnivora, Phocidae.